Molecule: ribosomal RNA, 28 nt
Filed under: Yersinia pestis Pestoides A
Lineage: Bacteria; Pseudomonadati; Pseudomonadota; Gammaproteobacteria; Enterobacterales; Yersiniaceae
Description: partial 23S ribosomal RNA
Source: RNAcentral
GUACUAAUGAUCCGUGAGGCUUAACCUU